This 810-nucleotide ribosomal RNA is filed under the name uncultured bacterium. RNAcentral's name for it is "bacterial SSU rRNA". It matches the Rfam family "Bacterial small subunit ribosomal RNA", at positions 61 to 900 of the family's 1533-position model. The record is from RNAcentral.
GUCGAGCGAUCUUCUUCGGAAGAGAGCGGCGGACGGGUGAGUAACCUUUGGGUAACCUGCCCUGUACACACGGAUAACAUACCGACCUGUAUGCUAAUACGGGAUAACAUAAGAAAUUCGCAUGUUUUUCUUAUCAAAGCUCCGGCGGUACAGGAUGGACCCGCGUCUGAUUAGCUAGUUGGUGAGGUAACGGCUCACCAAGGCGACGAUCAGUAGCCGACCUGAGAGGGUGAUCGGCCACAUUGGAACUGAGACACGGUCCAAACUCCUACGGGAGGCAGCAGUGGGGAAUAUUGCACAAUGGGCGAAAGCCUGAUGCAGCAACGCCGCGUGAGCGAUGAAGGCCUUCGGGUCGUAAAGCUCUGUCCUCAAGGAAGAUAAUGACGGUACUUGAGGAGGAAGCCCCGGCUAACUACGUGCCAGCAGCCGCGGUAAUACGUAGGGGGCUAGCGUUAUCCGGAUUUACUGGGCGUAAAGGGUGCGUAGGCGGUCUUUUAAGUCAGGAGUGAAAGGCUACGGCUCAACCGUAGUAAGCUCUUGAAACUGGAGGACUUGAGUGCAGGAGAGGAGAGUGGAAUUCCUAGUGUAGCGGUGAAAUGCGUAGAUAUUAGGAGGAACACCAGUAGCGAAGGCGGCUCUCUGGACUGUAACUGACGCUGAGGCACGAAAGCGUGGGGAGCAAACAGGAUUAGAUACCCUGGUAGUCCACGCCGUAAACGAUGAGUACUAGGUGUCGGGGGUUACCCCCCUCGGUGCCGCAGCUAACGCAUUAAGUACUCCGCCUGGGGAGUACGCUCGCAAGAGUGAAAC